This 440-nucleotide ribosomal RNA is filed under the name uncultured bacterium. RNAcentral's name for it is "partial 16S ribosomal RNA". It matches the Rfam family "Bacterial small subunit ribosomal RNA", at positions 339 to 795 of the family's 1533-position model. The record is from RNAcentral.
CUACGGGAUGCAGCAGUGGGGAAUAUUGGGCAAUGGGCGCAAGCCUGACCCAGCAACGCCGCGUGAGGGAAGAAGGUUUUCGGAUUGUAAACCUCUGUCCUUGGGGACGAAGAAGUGACGGUACCCAAGGAGGAAGCUCCGGCUAACUACGUGCCAGCAGCCGCGGUAAUACGUAGGGAGCAAGCGUGGUCCGGAAUUACUGGGCGUAAGGGUGCGUAGGCGGCAUAUUAAGUCAGGUGUGAAAUACUAGGGCUCAACCCGGGGGCUGCAUUUGAAACUGAUAUGCUUGAGUGUGAGAGAGGAAAGUGGAAUUCCUAGUGUAGCGGUGGAAUGCGUAGAUAUUAGGAGGAACACCAGUGGCGAAGGCGACUUUCUGGCUCAUAACUGGCGCUGAGGCACGAAAGCGUGGGGAGCAAACAGGAUUAGAUACCCCUGUAGUC